Mangifera indica (mango) is the source of this 786-nucleotide long non-coding RNA. RefSeq lists it as uncharacterized. The record is from RefSeq and is a predicted model, not a curated record. The transcript is spliced from 2 exons. Lineage: Eukaryota; Viridiplantae; Streptophyta; Magnoliopsida; Sapindales; Anacardiaceae.
GGGAAAGUACAAAAUGUUAACUCAUUUCAUCUACUUUUUGAGAAAUUUACAAAAGGUGAAGGUUGGUUUAAAUCAUUUCAGGUAUAUAUGGAGCUUUAUAAGUUUUCCGGUACAUUGCCAUACCGGCGUUCGGAAACAAGCGCGAGAGGAGUUUACAGGGGAAAAAAAUUAAAGAAAAAGCAGCAACGAAUGAGUGAAUUUAUUCAUUUGUUGGUAUUUGCAUUAACUCUCUUGCCAAACGCCCCGAGAGCGCUAGUACUAUUACUGUUUCAUGGACAUUUCCGACAGAGUAUUGAGUACUAAGCACCGUUCACUCUUUUUGUGGUCCAGUUCAUCAAAGCUUCGUUACUUUCCACAGUGAGAUCUCACGCCCUAGCUCAACCCCCUCUCUGACAUUUGUGGUAUCUCCUGUUUGGUUGUCAACUAACUGUAUAAAUGGCUCUGCUGGUGUUGGGGUUCUUCUGAUGAGAGCUCGACUUGUUCUGGGAUUGUUUGUAUCGCCAUAUACUUACACAAGGUUGCAGAAAUAUCCCUUUCUUGGCUUCAUCUCAGUUUCAGGUUAACCUUAGAUCUACAUAGUCCAUUUUUUUAAAGAUGUUGAUAUAACCAGUCUCUGUCUUAAAAUUAUCAAGUCAUAUAGUAACAGAAUCCGCGUAUGCAUCGAAUGUCAAAACGAAAUUGUUGUGUUCUGCAUUGUGAGAUGAAUUCUGGGAAUAAUAAGUUGCACAUUUUUGUAUGACUGGAAAAGAAAGAUGUAAUGGAUGCAUGAACUUUGUUUUAAAGUCA